GAAUCUUCUAUUUUGCGUUUUGAUUUGAUGUUAUCCUCCUCCUGUUUCUGUCACCUCACCGUCAACACCGUACCUAAAAAAGCAUCAUUCAUCAAUAUCAUCCUCUUCCUCUAACUCACACGCUUCUUCCGAAAUUUCUGCUAAUCUUAGCUGAAAAAUAAGACAACGAUGACGAUGAUGGUGGUUGUUUUGGGGUUGUUGGAUUUCAUUGUUGCCGGUGUUUCUCUCAUCUUUGGUCUUUUCCUUUUCGGUCUCAUUGCUUCCCUUCUAUGUGUUGUCGCCUCCUUCAACAACGCUAAGGACGUUUCUUAACUCCCUCUCAAUUCAACUAUCAUUUCAUUUAUGUAUCCAACUGUUAGUUGUACUGACUGUUGGGUCUUCUUGGGAUGUUUGGUAGUUAUCUAUAUGAAAUCAAAUGUAUCAAAAUGGAACCUUGGAUCUUAUGAGUGAAAGAGUACAAAUGGUACUUCAGGCAUCUUGACUAUGAAUGUUGUUACAAGUUCAUCACACUGGAGAACGAUUGGUAGUUCUUUAAUUUACUUUUUGGCAGUCUUUCUGGAGUUUGGAAGCAGCAUACCCUCAUAAUUUCUUAACUUGAAAGGAAAAUCUUUCUUCACCAUCCAUUUAAAGCUAGCACUGCUCAAGUUUCAGACUUGCCACUCUAUAUUUCUGUUUUGGACCAUUUAACUCUUUCCUUUUGUGUAUGUUAUGUAGACCCAACCCCAAAAUUUUAAUUAUAUGUAAAAGAUGAGAGAAAAAUAUUAGCUAUUAA
This is a long non-coding RNA of Lathyrus oleraceus (garden pea), 772 nucleotides long. RefSeq lists it as uncharacterized. The transcript is spliced from 2 exons. NCBI's taxonomy places the organism in Eukaryota, Viridiplantae, Streptophyta, Magnoliopsida, Fabales, Fabaceae. The record is from RefSeq and is a predicted model, not a curated record.